This is a long non-coding RNA of Vespa mandarinia (Asian giant hornet), 515 nucleotides long. The record is from RefSeq and is a predicted model, not a curated record. Lineage: Eukaryota; Metazoa; Arthropoda; Insecta; Hymenoptera; Vespidae.
CGCUGAGUUUAUUCGCCCUACUAACCUAAUUUCCUUAUCGAUUCUUCGUACUUAGCAACACCGAGCGCAAGGAUUCCUCGAGAACGUUGACGUAUAUAUGUCUUCAUGAGAUGGUCCAUGCAACAGCACAACAGCAGCAGGAGUAAGCUGCUUGUACGAGUUCGGACUGCUCGUAACACGGUAGCCAACACCGGUGGUGGGUUUAAAUCAUAUUAAAGCACGUCCAGGACGCGCUAACCGUAAGCCUGGAUUACGGCUACAGGCGGUUUCAACGUACCAACAUCGGAGCCACCAUCACAAUAUGUAUAACGCCGUAAUUCGAUCGUCUUAUAGACGAAAGCAAGAAAGAAGAAGAAGAAAAAUAGACACGGUAGAAGAGACGGUAUAUUGGGAUCUCGGAAGCUACCCGUGUAUCGGAGAUUUAUCGGGAAUUUAAUAUUUUCUUUCCCCGAAAGUUUAGAUCGAUAUCGUGGUACCCUUCUACCUUGGUUAGAUCUUUCCUUAAAAAAAAAAAA